AAAUGAAGAUAUGGUACCUAUAAUUUGUUUAUUAUAUGGCAUUGACCAUGCAAUUUUGGUGUAAUUUGCUCUAGUUUAGGGUCAAUUAUAUUACCCAACAUCUAUAGAACAAUCAAAAGAAAAGCAUUGGGUAUAAACACCAAGGAGUAGUAUGUGAUAUCAUCAUUUAUUCAUAUUAUUAUAAUCUUUCCCAAGCUUUACAUUAUUGCGAUCUUAUUGCCGUAGUAUACAUAUUUAGUGAGAAUGGUGUGGGGUAAAUGAAGGAAAAUAAACAGCUUCAAGCUCUCUUAAACAUGACUUUCAAGGGCACAUCACUAAGAGCUAG
Molecule: long non-coding RNA, 325 nt
Filed under: Theobroma cacao (cacao)
Lineage: Eukaryota; Viridiplantae; Streptophyta; Magnoliopsida; Malvales; Malvaceae
Description: long non-coding RNA (TCAC_LNC003472)
Source: RNAcentral